RNAcentral lists this long non-coding RNA (4149 nucleotides) under Vitis vinifera (wine grape). RNAcentral describes it as "long non-coding RNA (VVIN_LNC002806)". The record is from RNAcentral. Lineage: Eukaryota; Viridiplantae; Streptophyta; Magnoliopsida; Vitales; Vitaceae.
AAUUUUGUUCUACUUCAUUUGAUAACUAAAUGCACAUUCGGCAGACAUGUUUGCUAUCUUAAGAUAUACAAAACAAAUCUAAUAGGGUAAUAUCAAUACUUUACUAAUGUUUAUUAUUUAUAGAAAUAAUUGGUCUAUGUUGGCCAAUCUUUAAACAUCUUCUAAAUAAUCAACUUUAGUAUACCAAUGAUACAUUAUGUCUUUUUCAUUUAUAACUAUUAACAAUUCAUGGGCAACCCAAUAUUUUAAAUGUAAAAGCUUGAUGUCUAUGAAUUUUUCGGGUUUGGUCACUUUGAUGACUAACAAACUAACUAAUUCUUGUUAACUAUAGUCUAUAGCCAAUUCACCGGUAAUAUAUACUUUUGAAUUUAAUUUUUCUUAGCCAUGGAUGAGUCAUGGGUUAACAAGAUAAAGCAAAUAUAUAUACAUACAUACAUACAUAUAAGCACACUAUAACAAAAUGGAACUUAAGGAUAGAUGUUAAUCUAAAUCUUAGGACUUUAUGAUUUUUACAAACCUAAAAAAUAAAGGUAGUAUACGUACCUUGAUCCAUAGGUAUAGACUUGGAAACACAAUUUUCUAGAAGCCAAAUGAAGAAAUUGUAUCUCUCUCUCUUCCAUGCCCCUGAGCUGCUUUUUAUAGCAUGAAGAAAGGGCCAAUUUUCUUCAAUAAUUAAAAUUCUACUUUCCAUCAAAAUGCAAUUAUUUAUCAAACACUUCACUUACACUAAAGGAUCAACAACACCAGAAACACCCAAUAUUCAUCUAUGAUAUGCAAGAAUGGGAAAAUGAUAUAUGCAAGAAGAUUUUCAAAAUCCCAUAAACUGGUAAUUUCCUUAUUACACUAAAGUUUCCAUUUUGAAAAAUAAAUACAAUGGAAUUUUCAUUAGAGAUAGUUUAUCAUUAAAAGGUAUUAUCAAAAUACUUAAUAAUUUGAUGGAAAUAAAUUUAUUUGAAAAUGUUUCCCACAUAAAAUAUUUAUUGAUUGGAGUUGUUUAAGAUAAGGAGAAUUUUUUUUUGUAUGAAAAUAGAUUUUAAAAUUUGAUAGUAGAUAUUCUAUCAAAAUUUAUUUUUGGAAUAAAAUACUAUAAUAGAAAAUUUAAAAAUUUCAGGAUCACAUUAUCCUAUUAUACUAAAUUUUCAAUUAAGAAAUUAAUAUAUUUAAAAAAUUUCAAAGAAAAUAAUUUAUUUAUCAAGGUAAUUACUAACGUUUUAAAAGACUUAAUUCAUGCACUCAAAAUAUUAAGUGGGAGAAGGCCUUUGGAAAGGUCACAACCUUUGUUGUUGAACCCAUCUUGAUUUGGAUUCAUCACCAUCCCACUGAUGGGUUGUACCCUAUGGUGGAAGCAACCACCCCACGGAUGGGGUCUUCACUUGGUGACAUUGAUGUCAAGGUCAAGGGUUAUACACUUAACUUGGAUAUGAAGUGGUUGAAUCACUCAUCGCUAGUCCCACUUGCAUAGUCUAAGGACCAAACUUUAAGGUAUGUUGAUUUUUUGCUAAACUAUUGUUUGUCUUGAAUGCUCAAUUAUAUUAAAUGCAUGGUUGUUUUCUUUUUAUAGAUAUCAUGCUUGUUUGUUAUCACUUUCUUUCUCACAUUGAACUAAACCCAACUAUUCUUUUGGACUAAACAAAUAUUUUGGAUUUAGUAAAUAAUACCAUAGAAGCUAAUUGAAGUGAAGCUACCUAUUCCUUAUGAACAAACCUAGUAGGAAGAAAGAGUGGUAUAUUAAAUGUGAUAUAAGACGAAUAAGAAAACCAAGUCUUUCAUACUUGGAUCUUUGGAUAAUGUGUUGUCAUAACAACACAUAUCAUUACCAAGGAUUUUGAAUUAUCUUUUUAUUUUGUAAGGUUUAUUUGGUGCUAAGGGCAAGUUAGCUUCGAUAAGCUACCCCAAAGACUAUUAUGAACACUAAGUUUUAUAUGAUCAUAGAGAAGUUAUCAAAUUCCUUCGAGAUGGUUAAGAUGAUUCUCAAAGAUUAUAUAUGAAGAUGUUUAUAUGAGAGUCAAGGGUUCUUCAGGUUCUCCUAUCAAGAAAAAGAAGAACAUCAAAUUAAGAAAGUUUAGGAGAAUGAAUAAAAAAACAAGCUUAUAGGUGUAAGUGAUUUCUUUAUGCCCUUCUAGGACACUAGAAAGGGAGUGCCUAGUUUAACUAUGGAAAAAAGAAAGUACACAUUCUCAUUGUUGAAUGUACAACGAUGGAUUUCACCAAUUAGGGUGGAUAGAUUCUAGGAGAAGGUUGCAUGCUGAGAUUGUACUUACCUUAGUUUUAGUUGCAAAGUUAGUUGUGCAGAUAUUAUUAUUAUUAUUAUUAUUAUUAUUAUUAUGACUCUAUUAUCACUUUGCCAAGUAAUGAGAAUAGUCAUAUCUCACUAAAAGAAUGAAUUUAGCACCAAUCAAACAUCUAGCUUCUAAAGUGUAGGGGGCAUUUUGAUUAAAGGAUAUUUCAACCUAUGAAUCUUGUGUAGGUGGUAAAAUGAAACAUUGCUCUUAAACAAGUGAAAACUUUCAUUCCCUAGUUUAAAAGGGAAGCUAACAAUGUUAGGUUUUGGCAAAGAAAUUAAAUUGUGAGAAACUAACCACUUCUAGUAGGACUUUGUCUUGACUUCCCUCUAAGACAAAGUUUUCAUUUGGUUUUAUGGUUUAGAUCAUAAGGAAUCCUUUUCCUUUUGAACAAUGUCAUACAAAAUUGAUAAUCUUUGUAAUGAUACUUUAGUUUCUUAUAAACUAACAUUUAUCAUUCUUAUAUUCCUUCUUUUCAACUUUAAAAGACUCAUUGAUGACUUACAUGAUGAACUAAAUGAGAACGUUGUUGAUGCAACCUUCUUUUGCACAAACAUACUAGUCAAUUUAUUAAUAUUCCACUUAGAUAAUUCAUUUGAAGUAAUCGAUAUUAUUUUGGAAGCAAUGAAUUGAGUAUGAAUUGUGAUAGAAAACACUCAUGCACUUUCAUCCUUGAAUUCUUAGCGCUUUUGCUAGGUUUGUUGUUUCAAGGAUGUGCUCAUAUAUGCCACGUGAACUAUCAAAUUUCAUGUUGGUAAAUUUGGCCAUAUAUCUUAGCAAGAGACUUAUAAUUAGUUUAGAAUGUUUUUUGAAAAUUUUUAUCAAUUCCUUACCACUUUCAAUUUUAGGAAGAGUAGUCUUGAUAUUUGGUACAAAAUCACUAGCAUAAAAAUUAAACUUAAUGUGUUUGAGUUUUCGUAAACCUUAUGGAAGACCCUUUCUCCACUUCUAGCUUUCAAUCAACAAUAGCAAUAACUUUCUUAGUUGGAUGAAACUAGAUUUGUUCACAUUAGUAUUAGAAAUUUAAGUUAUUAAAUAAGGAAAUAGAAGAAACACCUAUGAGGAGAAACAAUAUUGAUAGGUACCGUAAAUUACAACAAAAUAUAUUAAAUUUAUGGUUUGGGUGCCAACUUUAAAACAUAAAACCAUAAAUUAGAUCCAAGGCAUAAAUCAAAAGAAAAAAAAUAAAAAUAAAAAUACAUAGAGCUCCACUUUGGAUGAUAAUGCAACACACAACAUUAAGCAUUGCGAUACAAAUUUUGUUCUACUUCAUUUGAUAACUAAAUGCACAUUCGGCAGACAUGUUUGCUAUCUUAAGAUAUACAAAACAAAUCUAAUAGGGUAAUAUCAAUACUUUACUAAUGUUUAUUAUUUAUAGAAAUAAUUGGUCUAUGUUGGCCAAUCUUUAAACAUCUUCUAAAUAAUCAACUUUAGUAUACCAAUGAUACAUUAUGUCUUUUUCAUUUAUAACUGUUAACAAUUCAUGGGCAACCCAAUAUUUUAUAUGUAAAAGCUUGAUGUCCAUGAAUUUUUCGGGUUUGGUCACUUUGAUGACUAACAAACUAACUAAUUCUUGUUAACUAUAGUCUAUAGCCAAUUCACCGGUAAUAUAUACUUUUGAAUUUAAUUUUUCUUAGCCAUGGAUGAGUCAUGGGUUAACAAGAUAAAGCAAAUAUAUAUACAUACAUACAUACAUAUAAGCACACUAUAACAAAAUGGAACUUAAGGAUAGAUGUUAAUCUAAAUCUUAGGACUUUAUGAUUUUUAUAAACCUAAAAAAUAAAGGUAGUAUACGUACCUUGAUCCAUAGGUAUAGACUUGGAAACACAAUUUUCUAGAAGCCAAAUGAAGAAAUUGUAUCUCUCUC